UCGGGAAUUUUGGGCAAUGGGCGAAAGCCUGACCCAGCAACGCCGCGUGAAGAAUGAAGUAUUUCGGUAUGUAAACUUCGAAAGAAUAGGAAGAAUAAAUGACGGUACUAUUUAUAAGGUCCGGCUAACUACGUGCCAGCAGCCGCGGUAAUACGUAGGGACCAAGCGUUGUUCGGAUUUACUGGGCGUAAAGGGCGCGUAGGCGGCAAUUCAAGUCAUCUGUGAAAUCUCCGGGCUUAACUCGGAACGGUCAGAUGAUACUGCUUUGCUAGAGUGCAGAAGGGGCAAUCGGAAUUCUUGGUGUAGCGGUGAAAUGCGUAGAUAUCAAGAGGAACACCUGAGGUGAAGACGGGUUGCUGGGCUGACACUGACGCUGAGGCGCGAAAGCCAGGGGAGCAAACGGGAUUAGAUACCCCAGUAGUCCCUGAGCGGGCUGGCAAGGCGCAU
Molecule: ribosomal RNA, 447 nt
Filed under: uncultured bacterium
Lineage: Bacteria
Description: bacterial SSU rRNA
Rfam family: Bacterial small subunit ribosomal RNA
Source: RNAcentral